This 402-nucleotide ribosomal RNA is filed under the name bacterium. Its description in RNAcentral is "partial 16S ribosomal RNA". It matches the Rfam family "Bacterial small subunit ribosomal RNA", at positions 355 to 776 of the family's 1533-position model. The record is from RNAcentral.
UGGGGAAUUUUGCACAAUGGGGGAAACCCUGAUGCAGCGACGCCGCGUGAUUUAUAAGGCCUUCGGGUUGUAAAAAUCCUUUUUAUGGGAAGAAAAUGACAGUACCAUAGGAAUAAGGACAGGCUAAUUACGUGCCAGCAGCCGCGGUAAUACGUAAGGUCCGAGCGUUGUCCGGAAUCUUUGGGCGUAAAGGGUACGUAGGCGGGUAAGCAAGUUAGAAGUGAAAUCCUAUAGCUCAACUAUAGUAAGCUUUUAAAACUGCUCAUCUUGAGGUAUGGAAGGGAAAGUGGAAUUCCUAGUGUAGCGGUGAAAUGCGCAGAUAUUAGGAGGAAUACCGGUGGCGAAGGCGACUUUCUGGCCAUAACCUGACGCUGAGGUACGAAAGCGUGGGUAGCAAACAGG